RNAcentral lists this ribosomal RNA (561 nucleotides) under Triticum aestivum (bread wheat). Its description in RNAcentral is "partial small subunit ribosomal RNA". Lineage: Eukaryota; Viridiplantae; Streptophyta; Magnoliopsida; Poales; Poaceae. The record is from RNAcentral.
AUGCAUUUGUUUGCAUGGUGGAAGUUGUGUAUACCGAAGAAUAAAGGGGGCUUGGGGUUUAGGGACCUUCACAAUUUUAAUCUUGCUAUGUUAGCAAAACAGUGUUGGCGACUUCUCCAGAACCCAGAAUCUUUGUGUGCGCAAGUUCUUAGAUCAAAGUAUUAUCCAGAUGGAAAUUUGUUAAAAGUUGGCCCAAAGAAGGGAUCUUCCUAUACUUGGCAACACAUAGUGGCAGGUCUCUAGACCUUCAAAAGAGGUUGUAUAUGGAGAGUUGGGCCCGGAUCCCAAAUUGAUAUCUGGCAAAACCCAUGGAUCGCUAGUGCAACACGGAAGGUAAUCAUGCCAAAAGGAAUGACAAUGCUAUCAAAAGUGGAGGAACUAAAUAAUCCUUACACUGGUGGGUGGGAUGAAGAGCUCCUUCGUGAUUGUUUCUCACCAGUUGAUGUGCAACGGAUACUGCAAAUCCCUUUAAACAGUAACCUCACGGAGGAUUUUGUGGCCUGGAACUAUACUAGGUCAGGUACCUUUUUCGUUCGAACCGCUGAUAACCCACAAGUAUAG